This is a long non-coding RNA of Dreissena polymorpha, 256 nucleotides long. RefSeq lists it as uncharacterized. Lineage: Eukaryota; Metazoa; Mollusca; Bivalvia; Myida; Dreissenidae. The transcript is spliced from 3 exons. The record is from RefSeq and is a predicted model, not a curated record.
AAGAUUGACCUGUGCAGUCUGCACAGGCUCAUCUGGGACAACACUUACAACAGGUCUGCACAGGCUAAUCUGGGACAACACUUACAACAGGUCUGCACAGGCUAAUCUGGGACAACACUUACCACAGGUCUGCACAGGCUAAUCUGGGACAACACUUACCACAGGUCUGCACAGGCUAAUCUGGGACAACACUUACCACAGGUCUGCACAGGCUAAUCUGGGACAAUACUUACCACAGGUCUGCACAGGCUAAUCU